Molecule: ribosomal RNA, 253 nt
Filed under: uncultured bacterium
Lineage: Bacteria
Description: partial 16S ribosomal RNA
Rfam family: Bacterial small subunit ribosomal RNA
Source: RNAcentral
UACGUAGGGUCCGAGCGUUGUCCGGAAUUAUUGGGCGUAAAGGGCUCGUAGGCGGUCCGUCACGUCGGGAGUGAAAACUCAGGGCUCAACCCUGAGCGUGCUUCCGAUACGGGCGGACUAGAGGUAUGCAGGGGAGAACGGAAUUCCUGGUGUAGCGGUGGAAUGCGCAGAUAUCAGGAGGAACACCGGUGGCGAAGGCGGUUCUCUGGGACGGUACUGACGCUGAGACGCGAAAGCGUGGGGAGCGAACAGG